This 1759-nucleotide long non-coding RNA is filed under the name Zea mays. Its description in RNAcentral is "long non-coding RNA (ZMAY_LNC001804)". Lineage: Eukaryota; Viridiplantae; Streptophyta; Magnoliopsida; Poales; Poaceae. The record is from RNAcentral.
UUCAAAUGACUCGUGACCUCAUUGCUAGUCGUAGCAAUACAAACAAACAUGGUAUAGACAAAAUCAACAUCACACCAAACAUAAGAACAAACUGCAUAGUACUAAUCUAUGUGUUGCUACGAGAUCGUGGGUUCGCGAACCACUAAAUUCAGAGUUACGGUUGAGGAGUUAUGAUUUAUGGUAGAUCUAUGUGAUGAAGCAAUUGAAACUAGGUCUUGAGUUUAUUUUACAAAGAUAAUCUAAUGAAAUAAUCAUUUCACCUUUAAUCUUAAUUAUAACUUGACUAGAGAUUAUAUUUUAAUCAAAUUAUAAUUAUAAGAUCCGAAUACUAUAUUAAUAUUAGAAAAGUUAAACCAUAAAACAUAGAUUAAUCAAAUUAGUUACCUAAUUAUAAAAGUAUGGGAUAUCAUAUAAUCAUUGUUGCUAUUGUGUAGUAAAUAUUUAUAUGAAGCUAACGCAACUGGAACGAGUCAAUUCAGAAUUAAAACAGAGGAGUUAUAAAUUUCUGAAGGUUUUAUGUAUUUGAUACAAGAUUAAUUAAGAGAUAUAUUUUAAUAUGGCUUUCAUGUCAAAACAGAGACACUAGUUGAUAAACAAUAAUAUUACAAAACUAUAGAAACUGGAAUUACUCAAUUUGGAAUUAGUAUGAAUUUCCUAUGGAUUAAACAAAUUCUAUUCAUUAUUUUAUAUUAAAAAUAUAUUUCCAAUUCAAUUUCUCUAAUUUACAAACUCUCUGGACUGGGCGCAUGAAAACCAGAGAGUGCAGGGGCCUCGGUGUAACAAUUCCUAAGACACAGAGCGACUGGCGUCAGGACUGCGGGUUAAAUCUCUAAAAACUGAGGGGCUCAAUCGCUAAACCUACCGGCCGAAGCGGUAUCAGUUGAUAUGGAUCGUCCCAUCAAAUGCGAGCGGCGAGGAUUAAAUCAGCGCCCCUCACGAACCGGUAUGCUUCUACGGCCGUUGGAUCCUGGAUCGAGGAUCCAGAUUUAAUUCUCCCAAGUUCUAGUUCCCACCGUACGAUGCGAGAUUGACGGUUCAGAUCGUGUUGAACGAAACAGUAUGCUAUGUUCUAAUCUCGUCCGCCCGCGUCCGAUCCGACGGCCAGUAUUUCUCCCUCACAUUGCUUCAACAGGACACCGGAGCCAGCACCAGGCACACUGGCGCCGCCGCCGACCGCGGCAAUCCCCCUGCCCAAUUCCGGUGACCAAGUCCAAUCGCGACUCUCCCCUGGGCGCAACCUAUUGCCUAACGCAUGGCGAACCUGACCCUAAGCUCAAUUCCGUGGAUGGGGCCCUGCGCACACUAGUUCUUCGCAAUGACGCGGUCCGGCUACGCCGUAGCAAUUACGUCGGCGAGAAUCCAACCCUCCAUAGCCCCAACACGGUCAUAUGUGGGCGCAAAUCGGUACUACGGACCAAAUGAACACGGUGGGGAAAGAAAUUUUACCGCAGAGGGAGUGGUAGAUCGACCCCGACGGUGAAGCCCGCGUCCACGGCCUUCUUCUUCGAUUCUGUUGGGCAAUUCACCCUCCACAGCCGUCUUCCGAUGCUAGAUCUCACUCGUGUGUGUUCCCGCUUUCUGGCACUACCCGCGACCACCACACGCACACCUCAGCAGCGGCGGCGGGACGAUACUACCCGAUUUAUCCCCUUCGAGCUCUCCCUGGUAAUGGCGGCCGACUCUUUUGAGUUCUAGAUAACGGAAGGUGGUCAAGGGUUUCGGGUGAUGGGAACGUGGCCUUAAUACGUGCAGGUGUGCG